Molecule: long non-coding RNA, 969 nt
Organism: Cryptotermes secundus
Lineage: Eukaryota; Metazoa; Arthropoda; Insecta; Blattodea; Kalotermitidae
Exons: 3
Source: RefSeq, a predicted model, not a curated record
AAAUCCGCGCAGUCCAACGGACAGGGUUUACGUUGGUAUCUUGUACAUUAGGAGGUUUCACGCGCAGAAUCAGAGUGGUAUAGUGGUUUAGAACGUUUAGGAUGUUUAGAGCGUUUAGAAUGUUUAUCUGUUGCAAAUUUAGGAUUAAAAGUUGUUUAUAACGCUAUAGAAAUACUUAUUUAUUUGCUUAAAUACAGUUUUUGUUUUGUUUUGUUUACGUAUCGGUUUCGAAUUUGCCCUCGCUUUCUGGGCGUUUGGUUCAACGUAUUCACAUUCACAAUCGGCGUGGAUUUCCAUCUGUGUCGUGAGAUCUUGCAUUUGACAAAGUCGAUGUUGAUUCGCAUGUCCAGUACCUCUUGAACAAUGUGGAUGCAUUCCAGCUGGCAGAUUGUAUUCAGUACAUCUUUGCACGUGUGGGGCAACUCACAGGAAUGUAUCGCUACAAGUACAAAGUGAUGAGGCAGAUAUGGAUGUGCAAAGAUCUUAAGCACCUAAUCUGCUAUUGCUUCAAUACUGUGAUGCGUGAUAUUGCAGACAUGAUGCCUGAAGGAAUCACACAGAAUGAAGCCAGAACCAUUCAUCAGUAUAUCUCAGCUGUUUCAAUGAAUUGUUCUUGUUUUUGUUCUUUUAUUUAAAAUUCAAGCAGAUCCAGAUACAGGUUGAGAAGUAGAUUCACAAACCAUUGGAUAUACAAGGGUAAGUCAAUAAGUAAGUUACAAAUGCAUGUAGUAGAACUUAAACAAAUAAGAGUACUGAUCUGAAAAAUGCUUUUAUUUCUCAACAUAAUGUCCCUGUACAUUGAGGCACUUGUCCCAUCGUUUCACAAUCCCCUGAAAACCAGCGGCAUAAAAUUCUUCGGGCUAAUGUCGGAACCAGGCAUGUUCACAUGGCAAGGCCUACCUCAUAAUGCAUGACAGGUUAGAUUUUCACAAAGUCUGCAUGAUGGGUGCCGCGCAUGCUGACCCCACA